Molecule: ribosomal RNA, 528 nt
Filed under: uncultured bacterium
Lineage: Bacteria
Description: bacterial SSU rRNA
Rfam family: Bacterial small subunit ribosomal RNA
Source: RNAcentral
GGCUACAGGACGAACGCUGGCGGCGUGCCUAAUACAUGCAAGUCGAACGGUCUUUCUAUGGAAGCUUGCUUCCACUGAGAAGAUAGUGGCGAACGGGUGAGUAACACGUGGGUAACCUGCCCAUAAGAGGGGGGAUAACAUCCGGAAACGGGUGCGUAAUACCGCAUAGUUUUCUUGAUCGCAUGAUCGGGAAAGGAAAGACGGCCUUUGUGCUGUCGCUUAUGGAUGGACCCGCGGCGUAUUAGUUAGUUGGUGAGGUAACGGCUCACCAAGACGAUGAUACGUAGCCGACCUGAGAGGGUGAUCGGCCACAUUGGGACUGAGACACGGCCCAAACUCCUACGGGAGGCAGCAGUAGGGAAUCUUCCGCAAUGGACGAAAGUCUGACGGAGCAACGCCGCGUGAGUGAAGAAAAGGUUUUCGGAUCGUAAAACUCUGUUGUCAGAGAAGAACAAGUUGGAGAGUAACUGCUCCAGCCUUGACGGUAUCUGACCAGAAAGCCACGGCUAACUACGUGCCAGCCGCCGC